This 28-nucleotide non-coding RNA is filed under the name Homo sapiens (human). Lineage: Eukaryota; Metazoa; Chordata; Mammalia; Primates; Hominidae. The record is from RNAcentral.
UGUGCAGCCUGACAAUGGAAACUCAUUC